AGCAGCCGCGGUAAUUCCAGCUCCAAUAGCGUAUAUUAAAGUUGUUGCAGUUAAAAAGCUCGUAGUUGAAUUUCGGGAUCAGUACGCUGGUCGUGCCUUUGGUAUGUACUGGUGUCACUGAUUCCUCCCUUCUGAAGAACCGUUACGCCAUUUAUUUGGUGUGGCGGGGAAUCAGGACUGUUACUUUGAAAAAAUUAGAGUGUUUAAAGCAGGCUCGCGCUUGAAUACAUUAGCAUGGAAUAAUGAAAUAGGACGUUUGAUCUUAUUUUGUUGGUUUCUAGGAUCGACGUAAUGAUUAAUAGGGAUAGUUGGGGGCAUUAGUAUUCAAUUGUCAGAGGUGAAAUUCUUGGAUUUAUUGAAGACUAACUACUGCGAAAGCAUUUGCCAAGGAUGUUUUCAUUAAUCAAGAACGAAAGUUAGGGGAUCGAAGACGAUCAGAUACCGUCGUAG
This 450-nucleotide ribosomal RNA is filed under the name uncultured Glomeromycotina. RNAcentral describes it as "SSU rRNA". It matches the Rfam family "Eukaryotic small subunit ribosomal RNA", at positions 569 to 1023 of the family's 1831-position model. Lineage: Eukaryota; Fungi; Glomeromycota. The record is from RNAcentral.